AAACCAUGCACCGAAGCUGCGGCAGCGACACUGUGUGUUGUUGGGUAGGGGAGCGUUCUGUAAGCCUGUGAAGGUGUGUCGUGAGGCAUGCUGGAGGUAUCAGAAGUGCGAAUGCUGACAUAAGUAACGAUAAAGCGGGUGAAAAGCCCGCUCGCCGGAAGACCAAGGGUUCCUGUCCAACGUUAAUCGGGGCAGGGUGAGUCGACCCCUAAGGCGAGGCCGAAAGGCGUAGUCGAUGGGAAACGGGUUAAUAUUCCCGUACUUGGUGUUACUGCGAAGGGGGGACGGAGAAGGCUAUGUUGGCCGGGCGACGGUUGUCCCGGUUUAAGCGUGUAGGUGUGUGUUCCAGGUAAAUCCGGUUCACUUUAACACUGAGGCGUGACGACGAGGCACUACGGUGCUGAAGCAACAAAUGCCCUGCUUCCAGGAAAAGCCUCUAAGCAUCAGGUAACAUCAAAUCGUACCCCAAACCGACACAGGUGGUCAGGUAGAGAAUACCAAGGCGCUUGAGAGAACUCGGGUGAAGGAACUAGGCAAAAUGGUGCCGUAACUUCGGGAGAAGGCACGCUGACACGUAGGUGAAGUGAUUUACUCAUGGAGCUGAAGUCAGUCGAAGAUACCAGCUGGCUGCAACUGUUUAUUAAAAACACAGCACUGUGCAAACACGAAAGUGGACGUAUACGGUGUGACGCCUGCCCGGUGCCGGAAGGUUAAUUGAUGGGGUCAGCGCAAGCGAAGCUCCUGAUCGAAGCCCCGGUAAACGGCGGCCGUAACUAUAACGGUCCUAAGGUAGCGAAAUUCCUUGUCGGGUAAGUUCCGACCUGCACGAAUGGCGUAAUGAUGGCCAGGCUGUCUCCACCCGAGACUCAGUGAAAUUGAACUCGCUGUGAAGAUGCAGUGUACCCGCGGCAAGACGGAAAGACCCCGUGAACCUUUACUAUAGCUUGACACUGAACAUUGAGCCUUGAUGUGUAGGAUAGGUGGGAGGCUUUGAAGUGUGGACGCCAGUCUGCAUGGAGCCGACCUUGAAAUACCACCCUUUAAUGUUUGAUGUUCUAACGUGGACCCGUUACCCGGGUUGCGGACAGUGUCUGGUGGGUAGUUUGACUGGGGCGGUCUCCUCCUAAAGAGUAACGGAGGAGCACGAAGGUUGGCUAAUCCU
RNAcentral lists this ribosomal RNA (1162 nucleotides) under Salmonella enterica. RNAcentral describes it as "partial 23S ribosomal RNA". It matches the Rfam family "Bacterial large subunit ribosomal RNA", at positions 1184 to 2328 of the family's 2925-position model. The record is from RNAcentral. Lineage: Bacteria; Pseudomonadati; Pseudomonadota; Gammaproteobacteria; Enterobacterales; Enterobacteriaceae.